RNAcentral lists this long non-coding RNA (1057 nucleotides) under Fukomys damarensis (Damara mole-rat). RNAcentral describes it as "lncRNA (ENSFDAG00000023266.1)". The record is from RNAcentral. Lineage: Eukaryota; Metazoa; Chordata; Mammalia; Rodentia; Bathyergidae.
AUAUGUGUGAGCUGACUAGGAGAACUGAGAAGUGAUGCCCAGAUGUCAGCUCUCAGCGCUCUGGGAGGAUCUCAAGUUUGAGCCCACCCUGGGCAACACAGAGACUUUUAGUGAAACUAUCUUCAAAUGAAUGAAUGAAUAAAUGCAAACUUAAAUUCAAAAAGGGCUGAGAGUGUGGAUCAAUGCGAAGGCCCUGGGUUCAAGCCCUGGGGAUGGGGGUGGUGAAGACAGGGGUGGGUUUGGGGAUGUGGCCAAGUGGUAGAGUUCUUGCCUAGCGUUCGGGAGCUCUGAGUUCAGUGUCCAGCACUGGAGGAAAAAAAAAAAAUAGAAGAAGAAAAGCAAAACGGAAGUGAUGGACAGUCCUGUGGUAAAGGCCAAGAGGCCCCGUGCCACAGCCACAAGGAGGUGGUGAUAGGGAGUACUGGUGAGCUCAUCAGACUGUGGUCAGGGUUCUUGGGUUGGAGGUCUGCCUGUCUCAAACUUUUGAAUCAUGUGACCUUGAACAAGUUCCUUCAGUCUUCCCAAGACCCUACUUCCUCUUUGUAUAAGAUGAGGCGAGGCUCACGGUGACAUCAAUACCGUACUCUACAGGGUUGCGGGCAGCGUGGGUGCAGGAUGAUGGCACACCUGUUGUGCAGACUGCAAAGGGCACCUGGUGUCUGACAAAACACGGACCCCUCCACGGGUGUUGGAUAAAUGCACCAACAAACCUGAAUGUGAGCUCCCCAGUAACACAACCCUUGCCAACAACUGAGGUCCACGUGCCAGAAAGUGAGCUACUGGAAUGUGAUGAAGGCAGAAUUAAUGAAAAUGGGAGCAAAAACGUAAGUGAACUGGGGGCAGUCUGGUCGAGGAAAGGAAACUGGCCGGGGACUAAAGUCAAAGAAGAGGAAAGGAAAUGGGCAAUGCUCUGGAUAUAGAAAUGUAUGCUGUUUCUGGGGACAUCUUCCCCAACAGAGGGAAACAAUGAAGAGAAGCAAAAUUGUAAUUUUCCUGAAUGGACGGCCUGGGUAAUUACAAAUAUCUUUAGUAUUGAGAUAUUAAUUUUAUUACAGUA